AUCACCUAGGGAUCUUGUUAAAUGCAGAUUCUGAUUCAAUAGGAAUGAAUUCUGCAUUUCUAACAAAAUCCCAGGUGAUUCCAA
This 84-nucleotide microRNA precursor is filed under the name Pteropus alecto (black flying fox). RNAcentral's name for it is "mir-544 microRNA precursor family". It matches the Rfam family "mir-544 microRNA precursor family". The record is from Rfam by way of RNAcentral. Lineage: Eukaryota; Metazoa; Chordata; Mammalia; Chiroptera; Pteropodidae. RNAcentral also lists the same sequence under 1 other name.